UACAAAAAUACCUACCACUCUAUGAAAUGCCAUAACAUUAUUUUUAGGGUUAUAUACAUAUUAUGGUAUACUUUGAAAUGCCCUCUAAUUAACGCAUGAUAGGAUAGCAUUCCGUAUAAGAAGCAUUCAAUGUGGGAUUAAAUGCUAUUUAUGUAGUGGAUGGAGGCUCUAUAUUGCGAAUGUAGAGCCUCCAUUCUAAUAUAUACUUGUACGUAAGUGUGUGUACAUAUAUUAGAUGAGAUGC
RNAcentral lists this long non-coding RNA (244 nucleotides) under Elaeis guineensis (African oil palm). RNAcentral describes it as "long non-coding RNA (EGUI_LNC048775)". Lineage: Eukaryota; Viridiplantae; Streptophyta; Magnoliopsida; Arecales; Arecaceae. The record is from RNAcentral.